This 62-nucleotide transfer RNA is filed under the name Pristurus rupestris rupestris. RNAcentral's name for it is "tRNA-Cys". The record is from RNAcentral. Lineage: Eukaryota; Metazoa; Chordata; Lepidosauria; Squamata; Sphaerodactylidae.
AGUCUCGCGGUGAGCGCACACCGAAGUGCAAAUUCGGAGACGUACCCCAAGGUGCCGAGACU